GCAGACAGGGACACCCUUGUCUCCUCUCCCUUUCCCUGGGCAGGAAAUCCUCCACUCCUCUCAGCAGGGAAGAGUCUUGGCACCUUCAUGCCUCCUCCAACAAGUUCAUUUACACUGAAGACUUUGCAAACCCCUCCUGUAAAGACUUAGCACCAGACUGGAAAUAGCAAAGGUGCUGAGUUAACCCACUCUGAAGAGUCUCUGGAUCCCAUGACUGAGCUUUGGAUAGCACAGCACAGCUGUCAAUCUUAGACUGAUAGCUUAAUUUGCUGAUUUAAGGUAACUGUUUCUUAACCUGAAGAAACCGCCCCCCCCCCCCGAAAAUUUUUGUUAUUUCACUCCAUUUAUAUUGUUCAGUCUCAGCUUGUUCUACUUGACAUAGGCCAGCCUAAGCCCUGCUCAGUGGUUAUGGAAUAAUCCCUAUGAUAAAAACUGAGACAGUUUUGUCUGGUGAAAGGAUUCCUUUGUUUGUUAUGUAUUGGGGCAAAAAAAAAAAAAUCAUCCCUUCUUUGUAGGUACUAGUCUUCUCUCAGUGUUUCACUUGGUUAGAAAGUGAAUGCAGAUAGGUUUGUCUUUUUAAACUUUAUUCCUCUCUGGCUAUUCCCACACUGUGGCCUGAAAACAUUUGUAGCCCCAUCUUGCUGGAAGCCAGAGGAGUCAGGUGUGAUUCCUGAUGAUCCAGGAAGUGAGGCAGAAAGCACACACUUUUCCCUGCCCGCACUCCUUGAUGGAUUGCUGUAUCCCAGGAGAGAAUGUGUACAUAUACAACUUGUGGAUAUUCUCAGUUCAGUCAGAGAGAAAAGGAGAAAGAUUUCUGCCAGGCUAAGCCUGGGAAAAAGUCCAGGAGGAAUGUAAACCAUCUGUUAUCCUGUUUUCUGUUCAUACUGUUUAUAGAUAUGUUCUACCACACUGACCUAAGUCCAGUGGACCAAUCAGGUGAAAUGGUUUUACUUUAAGACCAAUGGAAUUAAUGUUCAUGAUGUUCUCUAUAAAAGAGCGAUGUACUUUGAAUAAACGAUCAUUCUUUGCCUUCUGAA
Vidua chalybeata is the source of this 1037-nucleotide long non-coding RNA. RefSeq lists it as uncharacterized. The transcript has 2 exons. Lineage: Eukaryota; Metazoa; Chordata; Aves; Passeriformes; Viduidae. The record is from RefSeq and is a predicted model, not a curated record.